Molecule: ribosomal RNA, 252 nt
Filed under: uncultured bacterium
Lineage: Bacteria
Description: partial 16S ribosomal RNA
Rfam family: Bacterial small subunit ribosomal RNA
Source: RNAcentral
UACAGAGGUCUCAAGCGUUGUUCGGAUUCAUUGGGCGUAAGGGUGCGUAGGCGGCGCGGUAAGUCGGGUGUGAAAUCUCGGAGCUUAACUCCGAAACUGCAUUCGAUACUGCCGUGCUUGAGGACUGGAGAGGAGACUGGAAUUUACGGUGUAGCGGUGAAAUGCGUAGAUAUCGUAAGGAAGACCAGUGGCGAAGGCGGGUCUCUGGACAGUUCCUGACGCUGAGGCACGAAGGUCAGGGGAGCGAACGGG